GAUCAUGGCUCAGAGUGAACGCUGCGGCGUGCUUAACACAUGCAAGUCGAACGAGAACGGAUUAUAGCUUGCUAUAAUUGUCAGCUAAGUGGCGCACGGGUGAGUAAUGUAUAGGUAAUAUGCCUCUUACUAAGGGAUAACAAAUGGAAACGUUUGCUAAUACCUUAUACUCCUUAUUAACAGAAGUUAAUAAGGGAAAGAUUUAUCGCCUAAGGAUGAGCCCGCGUAAGAUUAGCUUGUUGGUGAGGUAAAAGCUCACCAAGGCGACGAUCUUUAGCUGGUCUGAGAGGAUGAUCAGCCACACUGGGACUGAGACACGGCCCAGACUCCUACGGGAGGCAGCAGUGGGGAAUAUUGGACAAUGGGCGAAAGCCUGAUCCAGCAAUGCCGCGUGAGUGAUGAAGGCCUUAGGGUUGUAAAGCUCUUUUACCAGGGAUGAUAAUGACAGUACCUGGAGAAUAAGCUCCGGCUAACUCCGUG
Molecule: ribosomal RNA, 480 nt
Filed under: uncultured bacterium
Lineage: Bacteria
Description: bacterial SSU rRNA
Rfam family: Bacterial small subunit ribosomal RNA
Source: RNAcentral